Molecule: ribosomal RNA, 381 nt
Filed under: uncultured bacterium
Lineage: Bacteria
Description: bacterial SSU rRNA
Rfam family: Bacterial small subunit ribosomal RNA
Source: RNAcentral
GACGAACGCUGGCGGCGUGCCUAACACAUGCAAGUCGCGCGAGAAAGUGGGGGCAACUCCAUGAGUAAAGCGGCGCACGGGUGAGUAAUACGUAGGUAACCUGCCCUCGAGACCGGGAUAACCUUCCGAAAGGAGGGCUAAUACCGGAUAAGACCACGAAGUUUCGGCUUCGGGGUCAAAGGUGGCCUCUGCAUGCAAGCUAUCACUCGAAGAUGGGCCUGCGCACCAUUAGCAGUUGGCGAGGUAACGGCUCACCAAGGCGAAGAUGGUUAGCUGGUCUGAGAGGAUGACCAGCCACACUGGGACUGAGACACGGCCCAGACUCCUACGGGAGGCAGCAGUGGGAAUAUUGACAAUGGGCGCAAGCCUGAUCCAGCCAUG